Molecule: long non-coding RNA, 417 nt
Filed under: Citrus x clementina
Lineage: Eukaryota; Viridiplantae; Streptophyta; Magnoliopsida; Sapindales; Rutaceae
Description: Citrus clementina (C. clementina) long non-coding RNA (CCLE_LNC000276)
Source: RNAcentral
UUUGUAUAAUUAAUAAUACAAAAUUUUAGUUUAUAAUAACAACAACAACUUGUAAAUUGUAAUAUUAUAAUAUAAGACACGAUUAUUUAUAGUACAAUCCAAUAUUACACCAAACACAACAUAGUACUAUAUGUAAUUCAAUAUUAUCUAAUCAAAUCUUAUCUUAUCCAAUUCGAUCCGAUCCAAUCCAAUCCAAUCCAGCAUACUAAACGAACCCUAAGGAAACUAUUUUAAUGGUAGCAUGGGGUAAGGACCCUUUAAUUUUAAAUCUCUUAAAAGUUGACUUAGUACAAGUUUUCCUUUCCCAUUUACACAACAAAAAACUGGAGCCAAAAAAAUUAAAAAACAUAACUUAUAUCCAAUUUUGUACUCAAAGCAAUAUUUUACAAUUAAAAGAAGACAAGAGAAUAGGAAAUU